GACGAACGCUGGCGGCGUGCUUAACACAUGCAAGUCGAACGGGUCUGCCCUGUUUUUUGCGGGGUGGGUCAGUGGCGAACGGGUGAGUAACACGUGAGUAACCUGCCCCUCACUUCUGGAUAACCGCUUGAAAGGGUGGCUAAUACGGGGUGUUCUGGCUGUGCCGCAUGGUGUGGCUGGGAAAGAUUCACUUUUGUGGUGUUUUGGUGGGGGAUGGGCUCGCGGCCUAUCAGCUUGUUGGUGGGGUGAUGGCCUGCCAAGGCUUUGACGGGUAGCCGGCCUGAGAGGGUGGGCGGUCACACUGGGACUGAGAUACGGCCCAGACUCCUGCGGGAGGCAGCAGUGGGGGGUAUUGCACAAUGGGCGGAAGCCUGAUGUAGCGACGUCGCGUGAGGGAUGGAGGCCUUCGGGUUGUGAACCUUUUUCGCCGGUGAAGAAGGUCCUGCUCUUUGUGGUGGGGUUGACGGUAGCCGGGUUAUGAAGCGCCGGCUAACUACGUG
RNAcentral lists this ribosomal RNA (500 nucleotides) under uncultured bacterium. RNAcentral describes it as "partial 16S ribosomal RNA". It matches the Rfam family "Bacterial small subunit ribosomal RNA", at positions 28 to 507 of the family's 1533-position model. The record is from RNAcentral.